RNAcentral lists this ribosomal RNA (433 nucleotides) under uncultured bacterium. RNAcentral describes it as "partial 16S ribosomal RNA". It matches the Rfam family "Bacterial small subunit ribosomal RNA", at positions 29 to 507 of the family's 1533-position model. The record is from RNAcentral.
AACGAACGCUGGCGGCAUGCCUAACACAUGCAAGUCGAACGAGACCUUCGGGUCUAGUGUCGCACGGGUGCGUAACGCGUGGGAACCUUCCCUUAGGUUCGGAAUAACUCCCCGAAAGGGGUGCUAAUACCGGAUAAUGUCUUCUGACCAAUGAUUUAUCGCCUUUGGAUGGGCCCGCGUUGGAUUAGCUAGUUGGUAGGGUAAAAGCCUACCAAGGCGACGAUCCAUAGCUGGUCUGAGAGGAUGAUCAGCCACACUGGGACUGAGACACGGCCCAGACUCUUACGGGAGGCAGCAGUGGGGAAUGUUGGAAAAUGGGCGAAAGCAUGAUGCAGCAAUGACGCGUGAGUGAUGAAGGCAUUAGGGUUGUAAAGCUCUUUUAACCGGGAUGAUAAUGACAGUACCGGGAGAAUAAGCCACGGCUAACUACGUG